Molecule: long non-coding RNA, 1278 nt
Filed under: Anas platyrhynchos platyrhynchos (common mallard)
Lineage: Eukaryota; Metazoa; Chordata; Aves; Anseriformes; Anatidae
Description: lncRNA (ENSAPLG00000022966.1)
Source: RNAcentral
CGCUCAUGGCCGGACUACCGUGUCUUGGGAUCGUUGUCCCCAGUCCGCCCGAGAAGGGACCCGGACCCCGGUGCGGCUAGCACACACAUCGCGCAGGACCGGAGCCUAGGGGCUUGGGAAGCCGGACCCACGCAGCCCGUAGAGGGACACACGUUUCCUGCGAUCGAAAUAGCGGAGCCGAUGGAGGUCCGACCGGGACCUAGUGCGGCUAGCACACACAUCGCCCAGGACCGGAGCGUGGCUGUUCGGGAAGCUUUGGUGUCGUGGACAGGCAGCCCCCGAGGCUGCGGAUGACAACCUCCUGUUUCAGAACAGGCUGCUACGCAUGCAGCUCGUGGCCGCACAGCCGUGUCGUGGGCUCGCCUUUUCCGAUCCGCCCGAGACGGGGCCCGGACCGUGGUUUGGCUAGCACACACGUUUCCCACGACCUACCUCAAGGGGCUCGGGACGGUCGGCUCCCGUGCCUCCAAACGGAUAUAACCGGGAGCGUGGGCUGGUCUUUCGCCGAUCCUCAGGGGAUAGAACCGGAACGGCGAGUCCCAAUAGCAGCGGACACCAGCCUCCCGCUUCACGGCACAGCCGGCCAACGUGCCGAUCGAGGCCGGUCCCCCGGGACACGGGACAGUCUGCCGGCAUGCCGCCCGACACUGUCCACAGAUUUCGGAACAGCCGGUUCCCGAAAGUCUCGACAGCAACAACCUCGUUCAACGCACGGCAAGCACCGCGCCGUAUGUGGCCAGAUACCUGUGCCAUUGGAUAGCCGUCUCCGAGACACCCGAGGUCGGCUCUGGACCCUGGUGCGGCUAGCACUAUUUGUCUCCCAAGACCGGAACCAAGGGGCUCGGGACGGUCUGCUUCCUCGCCUCCGGACGGAGGCACCCGGGAGCUCGGGACGGCAAGCCUCCCAUCCUCAUGGGACUGAAACCCGGCACCGGGACGGCCAGUACAUUAACCCUUCCCGUUCCUAUUCCCGUUCCCGUUACCCUUCUCCUUCCCCUUCCCCUUUCCAUUCCCCUUCCUCUUCCCCUUCCUCUAACCCUUUAACACGUACCCUAACUCUAACCCUUACUCUUAUCCAAAACUUAACCCUUAACCUUACGCUAAAAAAAAGUUACAUUAAACCAAAAACUUACCCUUACACUAAACCUAAUUCUCUAACCCUAUCCCUAAACCUAACCCUAAUACUCUCACCCUAAUCUAAACCUAACCAGAACCCGAAACAUUAACCUAACCCACUCACCAUAUUCUUAAAUGAACGCGUUUUCUGGGGCCCAAUUU